UACGGAGGGUGCAAGCGUUAAUCGGAAUUACUGGGCGUAAAGCGCACGCAGGUGGCUGAGUCAGUCGAUUGUGAAAGCCCUGGGCUUAACCUGGGAAUUGCAGUCGAUACUACUUAGCUAGAGUAUGGGAGAGGGCAGUGGAAUUCCCGGUGUAGCGGUGAAAUGCGUAGAUAUCGGGAGGAACAUCAGUGGCGAAGGCGGCUACCUGGCCCAAUACUGACACUCAGGUGCGACAGCGUGGGGAGCAAACAGG
RNAcentral lists this ribosomal RNA (253 nucleotides) under uncultured bacterium. RNAcentral describes it as "partial 16S ribosomal RNA". It matches the Rfam family "Bacterial small subunit ribosomal RNA", at positions 524 to 776 of the family's 1533-position model. The record is from RNAcentral.